This is a long non-coding RNA of Phacochoerus africanus (Common warthog), 6310 nucleotides long. RefSeq lists it as uncharacterized. The transcript has 11 exons. The record is from RefSeq and is a predicted model, not a curated record. NCBI's taxonomy places the organism in Eukaryota, Metazoa, Chordata, Mammalia, Artiodactyla, Suidae.
CAUGGUUCCUAGUUGGAUUCGUUAACCACUGAGCCACGACGGGAACUCCAUCAAAUCGCAGUCUUAUUAAUGAAUAUUGGUGGACAAUAUCAGCUCUGUGUCCCUCCAGAAUUCACACGUUGAAAUCUUAACCCCCAAAGAUGAGGAUUUUAGGAGCUGGGGCCUUUGGGAGGUGACUAGACUCCCAGGGAGUAGCCCUCCUGGAGGGACCUCGCAGAGCUCCCCAGCCCCUCCUGCUCUGUGGGGACAUAGUGAGAAGGCUCCAGCUCUGAAGCAGAGAGGGCCUUCACCGGAACAGGACCAUGCUGGUGCCUUGAUCUUGAACUUCCUAGCCUUUGUAACUGUGAGCAAUACAUUUUUGCUGUUUAUAAGCUACUCAGUCUAUAGUAUUUUGUUAUUAGCAGCCCUAACGGACAAUAUCAAGCGGGUUGGAUUUGGUCAUAUCACCUUCCUUUCAUCAGGUUCUAGGGGUCACAUUGAUUUAAUCGAGACUUCGCUGAUGCCAAGGUCUUUGGCAUGGCUCAUCGGCUCAUUGCUGAUCCCAGGAGAAGACUGAGUGCCUACAACUGAGGUGUUGAGCCCAGGAGCGCACCUUCCUGCGGCCACAGCGCCAUCUCAGAAUCAGCUUCCAGGGGGACACAGCCUGUGACGUGGCUGGUGGGCAGCAGCCAGACUGAACACAUCGCAAAGAUGCAGCUGAAUGGAUUUGCUGGUGGAUUGGACAAAACAUCUUUCUAUUUGUGUCCUUAGUAAUAGGUCAACUUCCACUUCUAGGAGCACAUUCUUAACUUCGAUUUGGAAUACUCCCAACGGUUACCUGCUUUUAGAGAGAGUCUCCUGUGGCAGACACUUUAAUUUGAGGAAUGUCGGAGUGAAGCGUGAAUAUAUGUGUGCAAUCAUGACCCAGUCGUCGCUAAUUCAGUGAGACACAGGGUUCUCAGCAUUUGUUGAAAGAGUGAACCAACAGAUGCUGGGCCGCCACGUGGGACAGUCCACAUCCUCGAUGCUGCGCUGUCCCCACCGGGCAGCGGCAGAUGCUGAAACAGAACAUCCCUGGCCCCACAAGGGGGUGCCCUUACAGUUCCCAGCCCCGAAGAGCUCUUCUAGACCAGGUGGAAACGGGAUGCUCUUGGAGUUCAGAGGUAAUCUAUCACCCAGGAGAAAAAAAACAGGUAGUUUCUACACCCCAAAUGAGGGCUUUGAAGACAAUUAUUCUUAUACUAACUCUGGCUCUGGAACAGGUGUCUCUUUGGAGAUCAGGGGAAGAGAGUACACAGUUCUAGACAGAUGCUAAUAUUAGGGAGCAAGCCUAGGGGUGAGAGUAUGCAGCUCACUCUUUUGCUUUCUGAUUCUUCUUCUUCUAACAUUCUUCUCAGUCAUCUUAACAACAGUGAGUUUAAGACUGUGAUUGAGAAAGUACCACUUUGGGAGCAUAAGAACAUUUGAUCCUCUUGCAAUCCCACAUGCAUGCCUGACACCCCCACCCCCCCACCACUACCCAAGCUAUGUUUGGAACGAAGAAACUCUUGCUGACACUGUAAAAAUUUGCUUUAUUUGGAGACCAACCAGACAGGUGGAGUCUUCAGGUCUCCUUUGGGACCUAACAAUCUCUUAGUGCCUUUCAGUUGCUCUCAUAGCUCUGACAGAAAACCUUAUUUUCAGAAUUGGUAUUUAUCCUAGUUGACCUUUGUUGAUAAAUCUCCUUUCCCCCAUUGGUUUUGGUAGAUUUAUUUUUGCUAGACUCAGACUGAGUGAUAGGCUGUCUUCUCAGAUGUACAGACAAACACAUUACUAGGAGACCUGUUUAGCUACCCGUAAGCAAACACCAAAUCGAAUAUUUAGCAAUUCCUUUUUUUGAAGCUGGAGGGAAGGGAAAAGGGUCCAGGGAAGCUGACUCCCAGUUCCAAGAAAGUAGAGAUGCUCUUUGUGUACUUUUCUCUAGAUGGUUAUCGGUUGUAGCCAACGGCUGCCUGGUCAACCUCUCAUACCUCUGUGACCACAUCAAGGUGAUGAUGUCGAUCGAACCUCUGCAGACCUGUCUGCCCCAAGGCAGCAGAUCUUGUCUUGGGUGACGAUUUGAUGAAGCCCAUGUCAUCCCCGCAGGGAGAAAGGGAGAAGCAAUUCAGACAAUACUCCUUUGGCAGCAACAAUAUUUCUGAGGCUGGUUUCUUUGAACACAAAUAAGAUGGUGACUGAUAGACAUGUCAGAGCUUUUUAGAGACAUGUCCUGUUUUAUAUGUGUUCUGCCAUGAUCAGAAAUAACAGUAAAUUAGUCUUUUAUGGCUUCCAAGAAAAAAGCCCCUCUUCUUUUUGUUUGUUGCACACGAAUCUUCUAGGAAGAAGAAGGGGAGUGAAGAUUUUCAAAAGGUUUGGCUUCCCCACUGCUGAUGUAAUGUUCCACCCCCACAUGUGCAGACGCUGGAAUGUACAGAAGAGAAGAGAUAAGAAAACGGAGGCCUGAGGAUUCUGUGACUUGCCUGGCAUCCCACAGCUCACCUGGAGGCCAGAUUCUGAGAUUCUGUCACUGGUGCCACCUCAGAAGGCCCCCUUGUCCUUUCUUCUACACCAGUGGUUCUCAACUAAGGGCGGCUUUGCCUUCCAGGGGACGUUUGGCCGUGUCUAGAGCAGCAAGCCCGCUGGCAGCCGCCCUGCCAGGAAGAAAUUGAGUUCCGCAGAGGCCCGCAGCCCCCGCCAGCUGACAGCCCGUGGUGUGUGGGGACGGCUGUUGCUUGGCGGCACCUGGGAACAGGCCGGGUGAGAUGGCCUGAGCACGUGGUCUCCCCUUCCGACCGACCCAUCCGUCAGCAGCAGCCCCUGCCAGAAGAUGGCCUAUUGAACAUUUCCAGGAAUAGCGCUGCCAAGCCUGUCCACUGCUUUCUUGGAAAUACACUCAAUAAGGAUGGCGGGGCUCCAGCAGGGAGAGCAGAAAGCCCGGCCUGGACCGAGCUGCUCGGCAACGGCAGCGCCUGCCUGCGGGCCCAGCCUAAGGACGUUUCCAGUGUGCACUGACCUUGUGGCUACACGCAAGCAUCCGCGGUCACAGCCAAAUGAAAUGGAGGAAGUGGAGAAGAUGCUUCCAUCACCUGCCAUGGUCUGGCCUGACAUACGCCUCUCCUGCUCACAGCCCAUUUGGCAGCAUGGUCAUGUGGCCCCAACCAAUGCAAGCGAGGAAGUGAGGCGGGGAGCACAUGGAUUUUCCCCUCCCAGAGUCUCUACCUCACUGGCCAAACCCGACUUCAAGUUAAGAGCGACUGCUGGCAACUUUACUAACCAGAUACUUUCGGGACCCUGUGAAGAUGGCAGGAAACGGAACAGAACAAAACUAUUACGUUCAUGGAAAGCACGGCUGGCGUCCUGGGCAGCACCAGCUGCACACUUGGAAAAAGGAAAAUACAGACCCCUUGUUCAAAGAGCAGGGGGAAAAAAAAGGCAGUUAAAGAACUCUUCAAAUCCAGGACAUCCAUCACACCGUUGGAAUUUGAGGGGCCCACCAGAGCUUGCAAUAUGCAUAUUCUAAGGAGAAGCGGAUACAAGCCCACUCAUUUGUAUUUCUUUAAACACAACGUGAGGAAGGAAAAAGAAAAAAGGAAGAAGAGAAGAAAAAAGUUAAAAGAAAAAAAUUAAAAGAAGAAAACCCAAUGUUUUGAAAAUUUAUCAUUGAUGGAGACGAAGGGCACCAUUAAGAGGGCAGGUAGAUGCUUGCUCUUAAAAUCCCAGGUGAGGACAAACAGGUCAGUUCUUUAGGCAGCUAUACCUGAGAGGUGGUAUAUGCACUUUUUUUUUUUUUUUAAAUCCAUCAGAGAGAAGUGCCCCAGCAUGAGAAUUCUUAUGUUAAUAAUAAUUUAAAUUAAAACUAGUACAUUCCACAGACACUAUUGAAAAAGUGGGAAGUAUUAAAUGGGGGAAAUAGCCACUAUCCUCUCCUCCAAUUGUACUCCCUUAUUACAUAAGUAAUUUUAUCAUUCUUUUUCAUAUGCAUAUUUAAUUUUUAUGUCGUUGUCAUCAGAUGCCCUUGGGUUCACCUUGCAGAACUUCUGGGUGUGAAUGUGGACUCCAGCACUUGGUAUCUCUAUGACAUGGCAAGUUAUUUAAGCUCUUUGGGCCUCAAUUUUCUCAUCUCAAAGAGCACUAAAAAUAGUACCUACCUGAGGAUUAAAUGAGGCAGCUUCUACAGAAUGCCUCGUUCCAUGCCUGGCACACACUUGGUUGAUUAUAACCAUUGUGCUUACCCAUCAUUAAAGUAAGGCAUCUCUUAAAACCCAGGUUGGCUGGGGCAGGAGAAUUUAGCAGUUGAAGUCUGUGUUUUCUUCCCCAUUUUUCCCCUUUCCUGUAAUGAUGUGUUCUGGAAUCUCUUUUCUCUAGCUGCCCCAGCCCCCAUGCAAUCCAAGAUGAAAGAAGCAACACACACUGUUAAGCACCCAAAAUGUGCUGGUAAGAACCAUACUAGGACUUGGGAAAACGAAACAGUGACGCUAGAUGAUAUUGUGGAGGAGUAGCUGUGCCCCAGUGCUGUGCCCAGCUCUGUCUGAACCAGUGCCCUCUGGCGUGGCCACAGUGGUUUGCAUACAGCUGAGGAGUUUGCUUCUCGGGAAGUUUACUGUUACAGGUUGAAGUGUGUCCCCAUCCCCCUCAAAUUCAUAGGUUGAAGCCCUAACCCCCAGUUCCUCAGAAUACAACUGUAUUAGGAGAUAGGGCAUUUAGAGAGGUGAUUAAGUUAAAAGGAGACUAUUGGGGUAGACCUUAAUCCAGGCUGACUGGUAUCCUUAUAAGAGGAAAUUGGAACACCUGGGAUGCACUGACCCAGAAGAAAGGCCACGUGAGGACAUGGCAAGUAGGCAGCCACCUGCCAAUGAGGAGGGAGGCCGCAGAGGAAACCAAACCGGCCGACACCUCAGUGUUGGACUUCCAGCCUCCAGAGUGCUGGGAAAAUCACUCUCUUUUGUUUCAGCCACUCAACCUGUUAUAUUUUGCAGUCAUAGAAGACUAAUAGAGUUACAUAACUUUUAAAAUCUUUGGGAGUAUAAAUCCUUCAAAGAGAAGGACAUUCUGACACAUGCUACAACAUGGCAACCUUGAAGACCCUAGGCAAAGUGGAAUAACUCGUUCACAAAAGAACAAAUGCUGCAUGAUUCCACUCAGCGGUGAUACCGGGAGUAACCAAACUCACAGAGACAGAAAAUAAAACAGUGGUAGCCAGGGUCUGGGGGAGAGAGGAUGGGGGGCUCUCCCUAAGAGAGCCUAAGAUCUGAAGGGCCUCGGUAUUUGCUUGCUCUUUUGGUUUGAACUGACCCAUGUGGCCCUUCCUGGGGAACCUCCAGGCCCUCCCCUUGGACCCUAAGAAAGGCAUGUGCCCAGGUUCUGUCUCUCUGUGCUCUGCCUCAGCCACCCCAGCUGGUCCCCUGACGGGGGCCUUACUUCCUCGAGGACCUGGAAGUAGUAAGUCGCUCUGUCUCAGUUUCUCCUGUGGUCUGUUGGUGAACUGCAUUCACCAUCCAGCCCCCUGUGCUCCACUUAACAAAGGUUAAUUUAACAAAGUCACAGCACAGAGACAAACCCAAACUGAGGGACAUUCUGCAACAUUAACUGGCCUUGAAAUUUUCAAAAGUGUCAAGGUUGCAAAAGACAAGACUUGGAAACUAUUCCAGACUGAAGGAGACAGACAAACGACUAGCUUGGGUCUGGACCACAUAGCUUUGCUGUGAUGGACAGGGUCGGGACACAUGGCAUAACUCAAGCGGGGUCUGAGGAUUAGACUGUGGUGGAGUGUCAGUGUGCACUUCCUGAUCUGGACGCUUCGACUGUGGUUGUACGGGAUGCUGUCCUUGCCGGUAGGAAGUGCACACGCAGGUACGCAGGAGUGACGGGCCAUCAGAUCAGCACCUUACUACCAGAUGGUUUAGGAAGUAACCAUUCUUUGUGCUGUCCUCCAGCUAUCCUGUAAGUGUAACUGUGUUUCCAAAAAAAUAGAAAAGAAUGAAGAAAAAGAAGCAAUACGUUGUUUGGUUAGGAGGUAGCCAUGGUCUCUCUGAGUUUUUUUUGCAGCUGGUUUCAGGUACUGACUUGUGGUCGCUCCUGAACUUGACCGCCUUCUUGAGUCUCCUGAUGAGUGGGGAUGCCAGCGAGAUUUGGGAGGCUCUCGAAAGCUGCACUGUGACAGCAUGUCUUCCCUAUUUGAUGUCUCGUGGCUGUCCUUUCCUCUCGUUGUUUUCCUGUCAUACUGCCUUGGUCUCUCCAACUUCUUUCUUCCUUUAAACAAACAAGUGAAAAGGAUACAACUUCUCAGAAUAAAUGAUAAGGUGUUACUUUGUGA